GGAAUGACUACAAUUUAAAUCCUUUAAGAAGGAUCCAUUGGAGGGCAAGUCUGGUGCCAGCAGCCGCGGUAAUUCCAGCUCCAAUAGCGUAUAUUAAAGUUGCUGCAGUUAAAAAGCUCGUAGUUGGAUCUCAGUUACGGGCAGGUGGUUCACUUUACAGUGCUACUACCUGAACCGAACCUAUUGCUGGAUCUCUUGGGUGCCCUUCACUGGGUGCCCCUUGAGACCAGACUGUUUACUUUGAGAAAAUUAGAGUGCUCAAAGCAGGCGAAUGCCUGAAUAGUUGUGCAUGGAAUAAUGAAAUAUGGCCUCGGUACUGUUUUGUUGGUUCACGGUGCUCGAGGUAAUGGUUGAAAGGGACUGACGGGGGCAUUCGUAUUGCGACGUUAGAGGUGAAAUUCUUAGAUCGUCGCAAGACGGACUACUGCGAAAGCAUUUGCCAAGAAUGUCUUCAUUAAUCAAGAACGAAAGUCAGAGGUUCGAAGGCGAUCAGAUACCGCCCUAGUUCUGACCUUAAACGAUGCUAACUGGCGAUCCAGUGGGGGUAUUUAAAAUGACCUGCUGGGCAGCUUCUGGGAAACCAAAGUUUUUGGGUUCCGGGGGAAGUAUGGUUGCAAAGCUGGAACUUAAAGGAAUUGACGGAAGGGCACCACCAGGAGUGGAGCCUGUGGCUUAAUUUGACUCAACACG
Molecule: ribosomal RNA, 690 nt
Filed under: Candona sp. 35 IK-2020
Lineage: Eukaryota; Metazoa; Arthropoda; Ostracoda; Podocopida; Candonidae
Description: SSU rRNA
Rfam family: Eukaryotic small subunit ribosomal RNA
Source: RNAcentral